AGCCAAAAAUCUAGCCCCAUAAACUCCCCAUGUUCCCCCAUUCUUCCCCCACAAACUAAAACAUUCAACCAACCUAGUAAAGGCGAUUAAAAAGUUUAUUAGAGCUAUAACUGUAGUACCGCAAGGAAAAGAUGAAAUAAAAAUGAAACAAAUAUUAAGCCCCAAAAAGUAGAGACACAUACUCGUACCUUUUGCAUCAUGGUUUAACUAGUCCAACUAAGCAAAAAGAAUUUUAGUUUAACCCCCCGAAACUAGGCGAGCUACUUCGAGGCAGCUUAAUGAGCGAACCCGUCUCUGUUGCAAAAGAGUGGGACGACCUCCAAGUAGCGGUGACAGACCUAACGAGCCUAGUGAUAGCUGGUUACUUAAAAAAAGGAUUUUAGUCCUGCCUAAAGCACCUCAAAUCAAACUAAAUAACAUGAAUGCUUUAGAGUCACUCAAAUAGGGUACAGCCUGUUUGAAGCUAGGAUACAACCUCAACUAAAGGGUAACCCCCCCCCCAAAAAAAUAAGUGGGCCUAAAAGCAGCCACCUUUAAAAUAGCGUCAAAGCUUACUUCCAACUCAACAAAAUACCACUAAACACCCAAAACCCUUUACCCCCAUUAAGUUUCUCUAUAAACUAUAGAGAUAAUUAUGUUAAAACUAGUAAUAAGAAGAAGACCUUCUCUUAAAUGCAACUGUAGGUCAGAAAGGACAAACCACUGACAAUUACAACGUAUGUGAAACUAAAGUAGCAACUCUUCAAGAAAACCCUAUUUUACUUAACGUUAACCUAACACCAGAGCAUUCCAAGAAAGAUUAAAAGAAAAAGAAGGAACUCGGCAAACACACUAACCUCGCCUGUUUAYCAAAAACAUCGCCUCUUGGCCCCCAUAAGAGGUCCAGCCUGCCCAGUGACUUAGUUCAACGGCCGCGGUAUCCUAACCGUGCGAAGGUAGCGUAAUCACUUGUUCUUUAAAUGAGGACUAGUAUGAAUGGCACCACGAAGGUUAAGCUGUCUCCUCUUUCUAAUCAAUGAAACUAAUCCCCCCGUGAAGAAGCGGGGAUAAAUAUAUAAGACGAGAAGACCCUAUGGAGCUUUAAACUAUAUAGCACUAGCCCUACACUUUCAAGCUCCAGAGAAAUAAAAAUUACCCCGGCUACCAUGACUAUCAGUUUUAGGUUGGGGUGACCGCGGAGUAAAAACCAACCUCCACAUUGAAUGACAAUUACCCUGAGCAAAAAACCACAGCUUUAAGCACCAAUAAAUUGACAUUAAUUGACCCAAUAUUUUGAUCAACGAACCAAGUUACCCUAGGGAUAACAGCGCAAUCCAUUUCAAGAGCUCCUAUCGACAAGUGGGUUUACGACCUCGAUGUUGGAUCAGGGUAUCCCAGUGGUGCAGCCGCUACUAAAGGUUCGUUUGUUCAACGAUUAAAACCCU
This 1424-nucleotide ribosomal RNA is filed under the name Dendropsophus oliveirai. RNAcentral's name for it is "partial 16S ribosomal RNA". Lineage: Eukaryota; Metazoa; Chordata; Amphibia; Anura; Hylidae. The record is from RNAcentral.